Molecule: transfer RNA, 838 nt
Filed under: Bradyrhizobium sp. 5.6
Lineage: Bacteria; Pseudomonadati; Pseudomonadota; Alphaproteobacteria; Hyphomicrobiales; Nitrobacteraceae
Description: partial 16S-23S ribosomal RNA intergenic spacer
Rfam family: tRNA (bases 197-270)
Source: RNAcentral
CUAUCGAACCGUUUUAGAAACAUCAGGGGCCAACAGAUCGCCAGAUCGUUGAGCUCCAUUGGCGGGAUUUCGCCGUCUACGUUUCUCUUUCUUCGCGGACGAACACGCGCCAGGGCUGCGCUGUGCGAUUGCAUUCGGCGCUGGUCGCCUAGUGCUGCACGCGAGCAGGUCCCUGUCCUUGAAGGAUAUGCGUUAGGGGCUUGUAGCUCAGUUGGUUAGAGCGCGCGCUUGAUAAGCGUGAGGUCGGAAGUUCAAGUCUUCCCAGGCCCACCACUUUCAUCGAGCGAGCAUUCGUCUUCUGGUUACGGGGCCAUAGCUCAGCUGGGAGAGCGCGUGCUUUGCAAGCAUGAGGUCGUCGGUUCGAUCCCGUCUGGCUCCACCAGCCUUCGCUGGCUGUGCCAGCUACGGCUAGGUAAACCGACCGGUGCGAAGGCUGCCACGUCGAAGCUCGUAAGAGCGAAGACGGGCUGGCGCCAGCAACGACCAAGUCAUCGUCCGCGAAACAUCACUUCGCACCCACUAGUCCGGAUGGACAGUGACGUGCGUGAUUUCUGACAUCGUAAAGAGGAGAUCGAUCCGAGUUGGAUCGUGCAGCAAUUGUUGCACGAUACUUCAUUAUCUCCGGAUCAUUUUGGCGCUUGCGCGCCCUUCAAGGUCAAACUUGGGGGACGAGCGAGUUGUAAAUGAUCCUUUUAGCGAAGCUUGACCGCCUCGCUAUCGGAACGAUCUUACGAAGCAAGCUGGUCUUUCUAAUCAAUGUCCGGCUGCAGAUAGCGUUCAUCGAGGGCGCGUGCCGCAAGGUAAUUCUGCAGACAACAUUCUGCCGAGUGUGUGGACA